This 789-nucleotide ribosomal RNA is filed under the name uncultured archaeon. RNAcentral describes it as "bacterial SSU rRNA". It matches the Rfam family "Archaeal small subunit ribosomal RNA", at positions 85 to 879 of the family's 1478-position model. The record is from RNAcentral.
ACGGCUCAGUAACACGUGGACAACCUACCCUGAAGAGGGGGAUAACCCCGGGAAACUGGGGAUAAUACCCCAUAGGCUAUGGAUGCUGGAAUGCUCUGUAGUUGAAAGGUCCGCCGCUUCAGGAUGGGUCUGCGGCCGAUUAGGUUGUUGUUGGGGUAACGGCCCAACAAGCCUGUAAUCGGUACGGGUUGUGGGAGCAAGAGCCCGGAGAUGGAUUCUGAGACACGAAUCCAGGCCCUACGGGGCGCAGCAGGCGCGAAAACUUUGCAAUGCGAGCAAUCGUGACAAGGGAACUCCGAGUGCCUGUAAAAUCAGGCUGUCCGCCAGUGUAAAUAACUGGCGAAGAAAGGGCCGGGCAAGACCGGUGCCAGCCGCCGCGGUAAUACCGGCGGCUCGAGUGGUGGCCACUAUUACUGGGCUUAAAGCGUUCGUAGCUGGCUUGUUAAGUCUCUGGGGAAAUCUUCCGGCUUAACCGGAAGGCGUCUCAGGGAUACUGGCAGGCUAGGGACCGGAAGAGGUGAGAGGUACUCCAGGGGUAGGAGUGAAAUCCUGUAAUCCUUGGGGGACCACCUGUGGCGAAGGCGUCUCACCAGAACGGCUCCGACAGCGAGGAACGAAAGCUGGGGGAGCAAACCGGAUUAGAUACCCGGGUAGUCCCAGCUGUAAACGAUGCGCGUUAGGUGUAUCGGUGACCACGAGUCACCGAGGUGCCGAAGAGAAAUCGUGAAACGUGCCGCCUGGGAAGUACGGUCGCAAGGCUGAAACUUAAAGGAAUUGGCGGGGGAGCAC